Molecule: unclassified non-coding RNA, 25 nt
Filed under: Mus musculus (house mouse)
Lineage: Eukaryota; Metazoa; Chordata; Mammalia; Rodentia; Muridae
Description: oocyte_clustered_small_RNA13390
Source: RNAcentral
UUAGAAGUUAUCUGAGGGCUGGAAA